RNAcentral lists this ribosomal RNA (174 nucleotides) under uncultured eukaryote. RNAcentral describes it as "partial 18S ribosomal RNA". It matches the Rfam family "Eukaryotic small subunit ribosomal RNA", at positions 1299 to 1458 of the family's 1831-position model. The record is from RNAcentral.
UGGUGGAGUGAUUUGUCUGGUUGAUUCCGUUAACGAACGAGAUCUCGACCCUUAAAUAGGUGAGCCCGUUGUCCUUUUAGGCAAUGCGGUCUUCGGACCAAAUUGAAACAGGGAAUCCACUUCUUAAGGGGACUGCGUGCGUUUUUUAGCACGCGGAAGAGCGAGCCAAUAGCA